Molecule: ribosomal RNA, 507 nt
Filed under: uncultured bacterium
Lineage: Bacteria
Description: partial 16S rRNA
Source: RNAcentral
GCACGGAGUUAGCCGGGGCUUCCUCUGGUGGUACCGUCAAGGCCUGGGGAUAUUAGCCCCAGACCCAUUCUUCCCACCCGACAGGACUUUACGACCCGAAGGCCUUCAUCGUCCACGCGGCGUCGCUGCGUCAGGCUUUCGCCCAUUGCGCAAGAUUCCUCACUGCUGCCUCCCGUAGGAGUGUGGACCGUGUCUCAGUUCCACUGUGGCCGGUCGCCCUCUCAGGCCGGCUACCCAUCGUAGCCUUGGUGAGCCGUUACCUCACCAACUAGCUAAUGGGACGCGAGCCCCUCCCCAGGCGCCAACUUUCAAUGAAGAGGUCAGCUUUAGAGGCAGGGUCCAAAGACCCCGCAUCGUCACCCGGUAUUAGCCCGCCUUUCGGCAGGUUAUUCCGGACCCAAGGGCAGGUUACCCACGCGUUACUCACCCGUUCGCCACUGUACCGGGGGUCUUGCGACCCCUUUCUCGUGCGACUUGCAUGUGUUAGGCACGCCGCCAGCGUUCGCU